Molecule: long non-coding RNA, 226 nt
Organism: Amblyraja radiata (thorny skate)
Lineage: Eukaryota; Metazoa; Chordata; Chondrichthyes; Rajiformes; Rajidae
Exons: 4
Source: RefSeq, a predicted model, not a curated record
AAAUCUCAUAAUUAUAUUGACUUUAUUGUACAGUUUACAAAGAUCCAUUUCAAAUUCUGUAGCUGGCUUAUUGAGUUUUUAUAGAAAGAAAUGUUGAUUCACCAUGUCAAAUUCAAAGGAUGCAAAGGGUGUGAAGCGCAAAAGAACUGCAAGCUGGUUUAAAGUUGAAUGGCUUAACAAAAUAUUACUAAAAAUUAGAGGGAACAUUGCCUCGAAAGCUGCCUGU